RNAcentral lists this ribosomal RNA (234 nucleotides) under uncultured bacterium. RNAcentral describes it as "partial 16S ribosomal RNA". It matches the Rfam family "Bacterial small subunit ribosomal RNA", at positions 99 to 334 of the family's 1533-position model. The record is from RNAcentral.
CGAACGGGUGAGUGACACGUGAGUAACCUGCCCUUGACUUCGGGAUAAGCCUGGGAAACUGGGUCUAAUACUGGAUACGACCUCUCAUCGCAUGGUGUGGGGUGGAAAGUUUUUGCGGUUUUGGAUGGACUCGCGGCCUAUCAGCUUGUUGGUGAGGUAAUGGCUCACCAAGGCGACGACGGGUAGCCGGCCUGAGAGGGUGACCGGCCACACUGGGACUGAGACACGGCCCAG